ACAACCAUUUCGCAUCUAAUGCGGUAUUGGCAGAUGUGGGUGGCACUUGCGGUGCCUCUCCCACUCAGCUGAAAUGGAUAGGCCAGAGAAGCAAACCAUGGCAACAGACUCACAGAGUGUUAUAAAAUGCUAGACUAGUCUGAAGCAGGUUGAAAUCUGUGCCAUUGGACCCCCCGUUCAUCAAAACUAUAGA
Molecule: unclassified non-coding RNA, 193 nt
Filed under: uncultured Tuberaceae
Lineage: Eukaryota; Fungi; Ascomycota; Pezizomycetes; Pezizales; Tuberaceae
Description: sequence contains ITS2
Source: RNAcentral